This 378-nucleotide unclassified non-coding RNA is filed under the name uncultured Gammaproteobacteria bacterium. Its description in RNAcentral is "contains 16S-23S intergenic spacer region". The record is from RNAcentral. Lineage: Bacteria; Pseudomonadati; Pseudomonadota; Gammaproteobacteria.
UCCGGUUUGUCACCGGCAGUCUCCCUAGAGUUCCCACCAUUAUGUGCUGGCAACUAGGGACAAGGGUUGCGCUCGUUGCGGGACUUAACCCAACAUCUCACGACACGAGCUGACGACAGCCAUGCAGCACCUGUCACUCGGUUCCCGAAGGCACCAAAGCAUCUCUGCUAAGUUCCGAGGAUGUCAAGGCCAGGUAAGGUUCUUCGCGUUGCAUCGAAUUAAACCACAUGCUCCACCGCUUGUGCGGGCCCCCGUCAAUUACUUUGAGUUUUACCGUUGCCGGCGUACUCCCCAGGCGGUCAACUUAAUGCGUUAGCUGCGUCACCGAGUGGCUGACCCUCCCGACGACUAGUUGACAUCGUUUACGGCGUGGACUAC